GGAGCUGUGCCUGAAAUAAAGGGCCACUUUGAUGUAGUGCCUCAUGAGGGUUAAAGUCCCUCCAACUCCU
RNAcentral lists this transfer RNA (70 nucleotides) under Parachanna insignis. It matches the Rfam family "tRNA". From Rfam's summary of the family: Transfer RNA (tRNA) molecules are approximately 80 nucleotides in length. Their secondary structure includes four short double-helical elements and three loops (D, anti-codon, and T loops). Further hydrogen bonds mediate the characteristic L-shaped molecular structure. tRNAs have two regions of fundamental functional importance: the anti-codon, which is responsible for specific mRNA codon recognition, and the 3' end, to which the tRNAs corresponding amino acid is attached (by aminoacyl-tRNA synthetases). tRNAs cope with the degeneracy of the genetic code in two manners: having more than one tRNA (with a specific anti-codon) for a particular amino acid; and 'wobble' base-pairing, i.e. permitting non-standard base-pairing at the 3rd anti-codon position. The record is from RNAcentral. Lineage: Eukaryota; Metazoa; Chordata; Actinopteri; Anabantiformes; Channidae.